UCCUGUCCUCUGGAACUGCUGCUGUCAGCAUAGACAUCACGAUAAACUAAGGAAAAAAGCAGUUUGUCCAUCAGGCUGUAAACGUGUUGUGUCUGACUCACUGCUGGAGCCUCUAGAGGACAUUACAGGAACUGCAGGUUUGGGGAUUUUUGUGUUAACUAUCGUGGACCCGAGGAAGCCCCUCGAUGCUUCAAGUACAGUUGCUUUUACUUUCGUAAGCCUUCGGCUGCCCAACCUACCUCUGAAUCUCGGACGGAGACGUGGGUGGAAGACGGCUCGACUUUAGGAAAGUCUUCCUCUUCCUCCUCUGCUGCGGGGGUCUCGUCGCCGCUGGGAGGCAUUAACAUCUGACUCUGUGUGAUUUCCCGGAUGUGCUGCAGUGGAGAGACGAGGCCUCGGCGCCCGGAGCUGCUCCAUCAGGGUUUGAAGUCCCUGCACCACCUGCCAUCGCUCGGGCUCCCCUCCCACGACGCACGGACAAAUGAAAGCCCAGUAGCUCUCAUUACUGCAGAAACAUCAGCGCUCGUCCUCGCUCCCAGGUCAUCGAAUAGCUCGUUCUGUCAGAGCCGCCGGUGCCUGAGAUCAGCACGAGGCUUCCUUUAGCCGAGGUGCCGUGACCCACAGACCACAGCUGAGAGCAAACUGCUGUUUGAAAGAGACCAAGAUUUAAUAAGAGCGCUGCUCACCUUCAUCAAGAAAGAUCCCUCCACACCGGGCGUGACCUGAGGUCGUCCAUCCAGACCGAUAUCAGUUGGCAGAUUUUAUGCUUCAAGUUGGAGGAGAAGCAGAGUCGGGUCGUGGAGGCAGCAGUCUGUCCUCAGGGUCCCAAAGUGUUUCCAGGACAAAUCAUCUCCAAUGAGC
Molecule: long non-coding RNA, 861 nt
Organism: Oreochromis niloticus (Nile tilapia)
Lineage: Eukaryota; Metazoa; Chordata; Actinopteri; Cichliformes; Cichlidae
Exons: 3
Source: RefSeq, a predicted model, not a curated record